GAUCCUGGCUCAGGACGAACGCUGGCGGCGUGCCUAACACAUGCAAGUCGAGCGGAGACAGUGAGUAGCUUGCUAUGAGCUGUUUUUAGCGGCGGACGGGUGAGUAACGCGUGAGCAACCUUUCCCAGACAGGGGAAUAACACACCGAAAGGUGUACUAAUACCGCAUAAGACCACGGAAUCACAUGGUUCUGGGGUAAAAGAUUUAUCGGUUUGGGGUGGGCUCGCGCCCGAUUAGGUAGUUGGUGAGGUAACGG
This 256-nucleotide ribosomal RNA is filed under the name uncultured bacterium. RNAcentral's name for it is "partial 16S ribosomal RNA". It matches the Rfam family "Bacterial small subunit ribosomal RNA", at positions 15 to 263 of the family's 1533-position model. The record is from RNAcentral.